CCCAGGAUUUCUCCUCAAAAUGAAGUUGCCUGGUAGACUGCUGGUGCUGUUGUUCUGGAUUCCUGCUUCCAGCAGUGAUGUUGUGAUGACCCAAACUCCUGUUUCCCUGCCUGUCAGUCGUGGAGAUCAAGCCUCUAUCUCUUGCAGGUCUAGUCAGAGCCUUGUACAUAGUAAUGGAAAUACCUAUUUGCAUUGGUACCUGCAGAAGCCAGGCCAGUCUCCACAACUCCUGAUCUACAAGGUUUCCAACAGAUUUUCUGGGGUCCCAGACAGGUUCAGUGGCAGUGGGUCAGGGACAGAUUUCACACUCAAGAUCAGCAGAGUGGAGCCUGAGGAUUUGGGAGUUUAUUACUGCUUCCAAGGUACACAUUUACCUCCCACAGUGAUACAGACCCUAACAAAAAUGUCCUUGCUUGGAGUAUCACAGCUGUCAAAUAAGUUAACUUAUCUGUUUUUAGCCUUCAGAGGUGAUGUUGUACUGAACAAGUCUUCAGAUAUCCUGUCUGUAAUGCCAAGGGGAGUCACCAUCAACUGUUAUUCCAGUGAAGACAGUGCCAUCUACAAUGGUAUCAACAGAAACUGA
Non-coding RNA from Grammomys surdaster, 583 nucleotides. Lineage: Eukaryota; Metazoa; Chordata; Mammalia; Rodentia; Muridae. The record is from the annotation of a RefSeq genome assembly.